GAUGAAGAACGCAGCGAAAUGCGAUAAGUAAUGUGAAUUGCAGAAUUCAGUGAAUCAUCGAGUCUUUGAACGCACAUUGCGCCCCCUGGUAUUCCGGGGGGCAUGCCUGUCCGAGCGUCAUUGCUGCCCUCAAGCACGGCUUGUGUGUUGGGCCCCGUCCCCUCCCCCGGGGACGGGCCCGAAAGGCAGCGGCGGCACCGCGUCCGAUCCUCGAGCGUAUUGGGCUUUGUCACCCGCUCUGUAGGCCCGGCCGGCGCCAGCCGACACCCAACUUUUAUUUCUAAGGUUGACCUCGGAUCAGGUAGGGAUACCCGCUGAACUUAAGCAUAUCAAUAAGCGGAGGA
This 344-nucleotide unclassified non-coding RNA is filed under the name soil metagenome. RNAcentral's name for it is "partial contains 5.8S ribosomal RNA, internal transcribed spacer 2, and large subunit ribosomal RNA". The stretch from base 1 to 120 matches the Rfam family "5.8S ribosomal RNA", at positions 35 to 154 of the family's 154-position model. The record is from RNAcentral.